RNAcentral lists this unclassified non-coding RNA (254 nucleotides) under Hevea brasiliensis (rubber tree). Lineage: Eukaryota; Viridiplantae; Streptophyta; Magnoliopsida; Malpighiales; Euphorbiaceae. The record is from RNAcentral.
GUGUAUCAAAUGCAGGUAGGAAGCGUUGCCCUAAAUCUUCAGCCAGCCAAAGCAACUGAUUCUUGUAAGAUCCUUGAAGCAAUCUAUUUGUAGAGUCAGUUGCAAGAAGAUGAGCAGAAAUAAGUCCUCCAAGAACUCUUAUAUUGCACUCAAAUAGGUUUACCCUUGCAUCAACAUCAAAUUUUAGAUUUUCAGAAAGCCAAAGAACUGCCCUUCCAAAUUCUGUGUAAUUGCCUAAAAUAACAAGGCUAGAC